RNAcentral lists this small RNA (514 nucleotides) under Arabidopsis thaliana (thale cress). RNAcentral describes it as "ATSL037560". The record is from RNAcentral. Lineage: Eukaryota; Viridiplantae; Streptophyta; Magnoliopsida; Brassicales; Brassicaceae.
AAACCUAAACCCAAGACCAUAGUCCCGAAACUUUAUAACCAAAAUCCUACUUUGGCUUCUGGAAGCCGGUUGUGGUUCUAGUUCUUAUGCUCAACGAUACACAAAGUAUCUAGUCAUAUUUGGCUAUAAAUCCGCUAACCAAGCCACAUCUUGAUUCUCAAAGCUUUGAUGGUGAAGUCAAAGAUCUUAUGAGUUUUUAGUCUUGAAUCGUAUAACAAGGAAGCACUACUUUACUUUUCGGGAUCUCGUUGAGGUUAUAGUUUUAUAUAUUCAAUCAUACACAUGAUAUCUAGUAAUAUUUCACUCUGAAAUGCUAACCCAGAUUCUUCUUGCUCUUCAAAGCUUUGAUGGUGUAGCCUAAGUCCGUAUGAUUUUUGGUUUUGGAUCUUCUAACAGGGAAAGAUAAAUUUAGGUUCAUAGCCCUGGUUGUGGUUUUAGCCCUAAAACUCAAUCAUCCACCUAUCAUCUUGAGAUAUUUGAUUCCAAAACGCUUAAAAAUAUUGUGCUUACUUUU